AGAGUUUGAUCCUGGCUCAGAGCGAACGCUGGCGGCAGGCCUAAUACAUGCAAGUCGAACGCACCUUCGGGUGAGUGGCGGACGGGUGAGUAACGCGUGGGAACGUGCCCUUUGGUUCGGAACAACACAGGGAAACUUGUGCUAAUACCGAAUGUGCCCUUCGGGGGAAAGAUUUAUCGCCAUUGGAGCGGCCCGCGUUGGAUUAGGUAGUUGGUGAGGUAAAGGCUCACCAAGCCUACGAUCCAUAGCUGGUCUGAGAGGAUGAUCAGCCACACUGGGACUGAGACACGGCCCAGACUCCUACGGGAGGCAGCAGUAGGGAAUCUUGCGCAAUGGGCGAAAGCCUGACGCAGCCAUGCCGCGUGAAUGAUGAAGGUC
RNAcentral lists this ribosomal RNA (378 nucleotides) under uncultured Alphaproteobacteria bacterium. Its description in RNAcentral is "bacterial SSU rRNA". It matches the Rfam family "Bacterial small subunit ribosomal RNA", at positions 8 to 416 of the family's 1533-position model. Lineage: Bacteria; Pseudomonadati; Pseudomonadota; Alphaproteobacteria. The record is from RNAcentral.